RNAcentral lists this unclassified non-coding RNA (2872 nucleotides) under Hevea brasiliensis (rubber tree). Lineage: Eukaryota; Viridiplantae; Streptophyta; Magnoliopsida; Malpighiales; Euphorbiaceae. The record is from RNAcentral.
GGCAAAGACAAAAAUUAAUUACCACAAAUUAUAUUUACAGAAGACUUAUUACAAUCCAUGUUUUCACAACAUGCCAAGUCAGGCUAAACAGUGAAAAUAUAUCCAAACACACACUAAUUAAAAAUUACAAGGUUAUCACUCAAGAAGAAACAUGCUUUAAGAGUUAACACUUCAUUUUACCCACAAGGUCAUUUUAUUGGUACUGCACUUAGUCUUCACAAGUCUCUUGCCACAGUAGGUUAUCUUUAGUUCCAGCUAUAGCUAAUAGGGGUAAUACCUAACAGUUGAGUCAGCAUUUCAAAAGCAGGAUCAGAAUGCUGUGCAGAGAUUGUCAACCUUAAUGUUAGAGGAACAUUCUCGUCGAAUAGGGCUGGUAGGACCACACAACCUGCUUCUCUUUGGUUCGGAUAUCCUUACACGAGACAUUGCCACAGCAAGGACAUCAACGAAUCCACAGUCUUGCUCGUCCAACCUCUUUAUUGAACCACCAGAUGAUAAAAUUAGGCUAGUGUCAUCACUGAGAAAGCUGCUGGUUGUUAUAUCGAUUCUCUCAGACUCCAACCCAUCUUUGCCAGUUAGUCUUUGGAAAGUCAAUCUUACAUGGUUUCCUAACUUCGGUUUUACUGUACGUAACUUCAAAGUUGGUUCUGUAUGGAACAAGAUCCACGGAUGCCCUGUAAAAUCACACUUCAGGUUAUAAAACACACUAAAUGACAGUAACAAAGCUUUAUCCAACGUAUAACUAAGAACUAAUUUGAUCUCAGUUCAUGGAAAAAUAAGAACAGAAUAUAAAUAUUUGAUAUCUUGAAUGUCAAGACUCAUGAGAAUUGCUCCAUUUGGCUACUUGUUCGGCAUACAGGACAAGUGGCCCACAUCCCGAGUCCUUGCUAGUUAGUCUUAAAUCUUAAUGUGAUACUUCCAAACAUUUCCAUGAACCAAAAUGUCAUAGACUCAGAAAGCCACACAAAGCAGUAUGAUGCUAUGUGAAGUAUCAAAUAACUGGUUGCCUAGAAAUAUUAUCAGAUAUUUGCUGCCACUUGCCUUCAACAUGGACUUUUUAGCAACUGAUUUAAUUAGUAAUUCAUCAGCAGUUAGUCUUGAUGAAACAUCCCUAUUGAGCAUUCUGGCAACGAGAUCCCUUGCAGGUUGGGAUACUGACUCCCAUAACCCACUCUCAAAAUCUAGGUUAACCUUCUUAAUUGCCUCAAAUACUGCAUCCAAAGAGUCACCUUGAAAUGGAAGAAUGCCAACCAACAGAGCAUGAAGGAGGACACCAGCACUCCAAAUAUCAGCCUUUUCUGAAUAGUUGCCAAGUAGAACUUCUGGGGCAACAUAGGCAGGACUUCCAACUACACCUGUAAGGCUCUGACCAUUUGAAAUCCUCAUAGCUAGCCCAAAAUCUGCAAGCUUCAUUUGCCCAGAAGUCGUAACAAGGAUAUUUUCAGGCUUUAUGUCCCGAUGAACAACACCCAUAUCAUGGCAAUAUUUGAUAACUGAAAUCAACUCCCUCAGUACAUUAGCAGCGUGAUGCUCUGAAUAUUGCCCUUCCCUAGCCAUCUGGUCAAGCAAUCGCCCCCCAGAACAAAGCUCCAUCACAAGAUAGAAAGAUUCUGAAUCCUCAUACACAGCCUUCAAUGUUACAAUGCCUGGAUGACCAGAAAGGUGCUGCAUUAUCUCCACCUCUCGAUGCACAAGAUCCUCACCCUUGCGCAACAUUUUGCAUGCAAAUUCUUCUCCAGUCACUUUACUUCUACACAACACUACAGAUCCAAACUUACCUUUCCCAAUUGUUGCACCCAAAUCAUAUUGUUGCUCGAUCUUUUUCUUCCGACCCAAUUGUGUUGCUACAUCAAUACAACCAAUUUUCCUCUUAAGACCCCUACAAGGUGGAUCUAAAGAGGAACUCCUAAAAUGGGGGGCAGUGACAAUUCCUUUAACUACACUCCUAGGGGAACCAACUUCCUUAUCUUCAUCUUCCUUGCACUUCUUCUUCUGCCUUGAAUAAUCUCCCAGUGACAAGUGAGACCAAAUAAUAGCAGAUGAAGUCAAGGAUUUGCCACAUAAUGGCAAAACUUCUAGGCCCUUUCUCUUCCUUCUUAACAACUCCAUCAAACAAUCAAGGUCAAGUAAUUCUUAAAUGCCCCCAAAACAAUACGCAACCAAAACAAGAUACUACAUUUCCAAAAUGGUAAUAUUACUCCAGAAAGCCAAACCAAACAAAUUAUAAACUAAAGUCUCUUCAAGUGAAAUCAAAGCAAUAACCAUUCUAUCACAAGAUUAGAUCCUUGCAUACAUUCUGCAAUUCCAGCACAAGGAUAUUAAUAAGAACACCCUUUUACUCUACUCAACAAUAAAAAUCUUAAUAGUAAUUCCAGACCAGAAGUAAUAGGAUCAAGUUAGUAUCCGACCUUUGAACAUUAGAAGCCUCUCGUUCUUCUUCUUUCGAAUCAUGUUCACCCACAAUUCAAAGACUUUAGACAUUGAUUGAUUUCGAUUUGUAAACAAAAUCUGUAAACAUAAAAAAUAUCCAAGAAGACAAACGAUCAACCCAAAAAUUUAAAGGAAAAUAAAAGACCCACCCAAUUUAAGUUGCUAAAAUUUGCCAAUAAAUAAAUAUAUCAACAGAUCACCCUUAUCACUUAACUGUGACUUACAACAAUUAAGCCAGACCUAACCAAAACCAAAGACAAAUCAUCUAGCCCAUAAAAAUUUCUUAAAAAAAAAAGGAAAAAAGCUUUUUGCUUGUAAUUGGAGUUCCAAAAAGACACGAAAUAAGUGAACUUCCAAAAAAGAAAAACAUGCCCUUUUUAUCUUUUCCUUGAUUUUCUCAGAAAACAAACAGAUAUCAUUCCCAGCACCAAAAAUUAAGGAA